RNAcentral lists this ribosomal RNA (774 nucleotides) under uncultured Neocallimastigales. RNAcentral's name for it is "partial large subunit ribosomal RNA". It matches the Rfam family "Eukaryotic large subunit ribosomal RNA", at positions 18 to 635 of the family's 3401-position model. Lineage: Eukaryota; Fungi; Neocallimastigomycota; Neocallimastigomycetes; Neocallimastigales. The record is from RNAcentral.
UCAGACGAUGCGUCAUGCAUAUCAAUAAGCGGAGGAAAAGAAACUAACAAGGAUUCCCCUAGUAACGGCGAGUGAAGCGGGAAGAGCUCAAAUUUGAAAUCUUAAAGGGUUUCCCUUUACGAAUUGUAGUUUAAAGAAGUGUUUUCUGUUGAGGUUUUGGUAAAAGUUCUUUGGAAUAGGACAUCAUAGAGGGUGAGAAUCCCGUAUUUGACCUUUACUUUCAACUUUGUGAUACACUUUCAAAGAGUCGGAUUGUUUGGGAAUGCAGUCCAAAAUGGGUGGUAAAUUUCAUCUAAAGCUAAAUAUUGGCGAGAGACCGAUAGCGAACAAGUACCGUGAGGGAAAGAUGAAAAGAACUUUGAAAAGAGAGUUAAACAGUACGUGAAAUUGUCAAAAGGGAAGCGUUUGACACCAGUGUUGUUUUUCUGAAAAUCAAUUAAAGAACUGUUUAUGCUAAGUUGUUUAGACUUUAUCAGCUAUCUGUUUAGUUUUGAGCUUUUCUUUAAUGCACUUUUCAGUUAACAAGUCAACAUCAAUUUCUUUUGCUGUAAAAAAGCUUGAGGAAGGUGGCUUGAGAUUCGUCUUAAGUGUUUAUAGCCUCUUGCCUAUGCAGUCGGAGAGAUUGAGGUCUGCAGCGUAGAUCCUUCGGGGCUAAAUGCAUUUGUGCUAAGUUAUAGCAUUUUAUAGACAACUUGUUGACUAUGAUUUGUCUUGUAGCUUACUCGCUUAUGUUAUUUUACCUACGCUUAGGAUGUUGAAGAUGUAGCACAUCAU